AGAGUUUGAUCCUGGCUCAGAUUGAACGCUGGCGGUAUGCUUAACACAUGCAAGUCGAACGGUAACAGCAGAAGCUUGCUUCUGGCUGACGAGUGGCGGACGGGUGAGUAACACGUAGGAAUCUGUCCAAAAGAGGGGGACAACCCGGGGAAACUCGGGCUAAUACCGCAUAAUCUUUAUGAAGCAAAGGGGGCCUCUACUUGUAAGCUCUCGCUUUUGGAUGAGCCUGCGUCGGAUUAGCUUGUUGGUGGGGUAAAGGCCUACCAAGGCUACGAUCCGUAGCUGGUCUGAGAGGAUGACCGGCCACACUGGGACUGAGACACGGCCCAGACUCCUACGGGAGGCAGCAGUGGGGAAUAUUGGACAAUGGGCGCAAGCCUGAUCCAGCAAUACCGCGUGUGUGAAGAAGGCCUGCGGGUUGUAAAGCACUCUCAGUAGGGAGGAAAGGCUUAAGGCUAAUACCCUUAAGAGUUGACGUUACCUACAGAAGAAGCACCGGCUAACUCUGUGCCAGCAGCCGCGGUAAUACAGAGGGUGCAAGCGUUAAUCGGAGUUACUGGGCGUAAAGCGUACGUAGGCGGAAAUUUAAGUCGGAUGUGAAAUCCCCGGGCUCAACCUGGGAACUGCAUUCGAUACUGGGUUUCUAGAGUAUGGUAGAGGUAAGUGGAAUUUCCGGUGUAGCGGUGAAAUGCGUAGAUAUCGGAAAGAACAUCAGUGGCGAAGGCGGCUUACUGGACCAAUACUGACGCUAAGGUACGAAAGCGUGGGGAGCAAACAGGAUUAGAGACCCUGGUAGUCCACGCCGUAAACGAUGAGAACUAGACGUUAGGCUCUUUUACGGGUCUAGUGUCGAAGCUAACGCGUUAAGUUCUCCGCCUGGGGAGUACGGUCGCAAGAUUAAAACUCAAAGGAAUUGACGGGGACCCGCACAAGCGGUGGAGCAUGUGGUUUAACUCGAUGAUACGCGAAGAACCUUACCUACACUUGAAAUCCUAGGAACUUACUAGAGAUAGUUUGGUGCCUUCGGGAACCGAGUGACAGGUGCUGCAUGGCUGUCGUCAGCUCGUGUCGUGAGAUGUUGGGUUAAGUCCCGUAACGAGCGCAACCCUUGUCCUUAGUUGCCAGCAGUUCGGCUGGGCACUCUAGGGAGACUGCCGGUGAUAAACCGGAGGAAGGUGGGGAUGAUGUCAAGUCAUCAUGGCCCUUACGUGUAGGGCUACACACAUGCUACAAUGGGCAGAACAAAGGGUCGCUAAGCCGCGAGGUGGAGCCAAUCCCAUAAAUCUGUUCACAGUCCGGAUUGCAGUCUGCAACUCGACUGCAUGAAGUCGGAAUCGCUAGUAAUCGCGAAUCAGAACGUCGCGGUGAAUACGUUCUCGGGUCUUGUACACACCGCCCGUCACACCAUGGGAGUGGAUUGUACCAGAAGCGGGUAGGCUAACUCUUCGGAGAGGCCGCUCACCACGGUAUGGUUCAUGACUGG
This 1483-nucleotide ribosomal RNA is filed under the name metagenome. RNAcentral's name for it is "bacterial SSU rRNA". It matches the Rfam family "Bacterial small subunit ribosomal RNA". The record is from RNAcentral.